GCCUUCGUGGUGUAGUGGUCAGCACGUUUGACAUGUAACCGAGAGGUCCGUGGUUCGAUUCUCGGCGAGGGCU
This 73-nucleotide transfer RNA is filed under the name Stegodyphus mimosarum. It matches the Rfam family "tRNA". Rfam says of the family: Transfer RNA (tRNA) molecules are approximately 80 nucleotides in length. Their secondary structure includes four short double-helical elements and three loops (D, anti-codon, and T loops). Further hydrogen bonds mediate the characteristic L-shaped molecular structure. tRNAs have two regions of fundamental functional importance: the anti-codon, which is responsible for specific mRNA codon recognition, and the 3' end, to which the tRNAs corresponding amino acid is attached (by aminoacyl-tRNA synthetases). tRNAs cope with the degeneracy of the genetic code in two manners: having more than one tRNA (with a specific anti-codon) for a particular amino acid; and 'wobble' base-pairing, i.e. permitting non-standard base-pairing at the 3rd anti-codon position. Lineage: Eukaryota; Metazoa; Arthropoda; Arachnida; Araneae; Eresidae. The record is from Rfam by way of RNAcentral.